This 104-nucleotide transfer RNA is filed under the name Escovopsis weberi. It matches the Rfam family "tRNA". From Rfam's summary of the family: Transfer RNA (tRNA) molecules are approximately 80 nucleotides in length. Their secondary structure includes four short double-helical elements and three loops (D, anti-codon, and T loops). The record is from Rfam by way of RNAcentral. Lineage: Eukaryota; Fungi; Ascomycota; Sordariomycetes; Hypocreales; Hypocreaceae.
GGCACUUUGGCCGAGUGGUUAAGGCGCCGUGUUCAGGUCCUGGCUUUGCCGAGUCCUAAUUCGCGGUCCAGCAAUGGGCGUGGGUUCGAAUCCCACAGGUGUCA